AGGGAAAACCAACUGAACCAACAC
Molecule: non-coding RNA, 24 nt
Filed under: Arabidopsis thaliana (thale cress)
Lineage: Eukaryota; Viridiplantae; Streptophyta; Magnoliopsida; Brassicales; Brassicaceae
Source: RNAcentral